GUGAUUUUGGAGGGCAAGUCUGGUGCCAGCAGCCGCGGUAAUUCCAGCCCCAAUAGCGUAUAUUAAAGUUGUUGCAGUUAAAAAGCUCGUAGUUGAAUUUCGGGGUUAGUAGGUUGGUCAUGCCUCUGGUAUGUACUGGUCUCACUGAUUCCUCCUUCCUGAUGAACCGUAAUGCCAUUAAUUUGGUGUUGCGGGGAAUUUGGACUGUUACUUUGAAAAAAUUAGAGUGUUUAAAGCAAGCUAACGCUUGAAUACAUUAGCAUGGAAUAAUGAAAUAGGACGUUCGAUCUUAUUUUGUUGGUUUCUAGGAUUGACGUAAUGAUUAAUAGGGAUAGUUGGGGGCAUUAGUAUUCAAUUGUCAGAGGUGAAAUUCUUGGAUUUAUUGAAGACUAACUACUGCGAAAGCAUUUGCCAAGGAUGUUUUCAUUAAUCAAGAACGAAAGUUAGGGGAUCGAAGACGAUCAGAUACCGUCGUAGUCUUAACCAUAAACUAUGCCGACUAGGGAUCGGAUGAUGUUAAUUUUUUAAUGACUCAUUCGGCGCCUUACGGGAAACAAUCGAAUUCCCG
Molecule: ribosomal RNA, 568 nt
Filed under: uncultured Glomus
Lineage: Eukaryota; Fungi; Glomeromycota; Glomeromycetes; Glomerales; Glomeraceae
Description: SSU rRNA
Rfam family: Eukaryotic small subunit ribosomal RNA
Source: RNAcentral